Molecule: non-coding RNA, 1561 nt
Organism: Microcebus murinus (gray mouse lemur)
Lineage: Eukaryota; Metazoa; Chordata; Mammalia; Primates; Cheirogaleidae
Source: RefSeq, a predicted model, not a curated record
GAUCCAGGCAGAGGGAAGAGCUGUGCAAAGGCCCGGAGGUGGAGGCAGUGUUCUGGCCUUGGCAAACUUUCCUCAGCAGGAUGUGCCAUGUUUCGAGUGCCCAGUGGCUGCCUGUGGCCACCCUAUGGCACAGCACAGAGAGGAAACAUCCCCAUCAUUGCAAAGCGUGCCACGGGCAGCGCUGUGCUGGAGAUCUCCGAGGGUUCUGGGUAGAAAGUGUUUUUCAGAGGAGACCAGUGAGGAUGGGCUCCAGCGACUCCAUGAGAGAUGCUAGUGGCCAGAGCCUGGCCUGGUCCCUGAACACAGCAAGUGUCUCAGAAGUGGCAGCCUGUCCCUCAGAUGACCGACCCCCAGCGAUCCACACCUGCACCUACUGCUGCCGCAGGUAGUCACCUUGCCAGUGAAUGAGAGCUGGCCUGAGUGGACAACAGAAUAUUGCAGAAGUGCCGGUGUGUGAGCUCAAGGCUGCAGCUUGUCCCUUGGUCUCCUGAGUCUCUCGGUCUGGGAGAAGCCGGCCCCCACCUCACGGGGCCACUCAGCCUGCAGAGACCCCAUCUGAUGAGGCACCGAGGACUCCCGUCGGCAGCCAGCGCCAGCGCCAGCGCGUCGGCCGCGUGUGAGCCGCCUCGGAGGUGGGAGUGGAGACGCAGUCACGCCCGCCUCGGACGGCACCCUCGCCCGUCGCCCCGAGCCAGGCCCGGGCAGGGACAAGAAAAUCUGUUGGCUCCAGGAAGUGGGCCAAAAAAAUCCAAAGUGGCCACAGAACAAGAGUACACCCUGGAAACAAACCAAAUGAAGGUACUAUUUAAAUUAUUAAGUUCAUUCAAGAAUAAUUCUAGAUUUUGUGAUUUCUUUAAAAUUCAUCAGGUGUCAGGCAGGUUGGGGGGAGGAAGGGAUGGCUAAAUGUACACCUAAUGGGUGAAGUGUGCACUGUCUGGGAUGGGCAUGCUUGUAGCUCCAACUCCAGCAGUGCAAAUGCAAUAUGUGUAAACUAAGUGUUUGUACCCCUGUAAAAUCUUGAAGAAAAAAAAACCACAUUAAAAAAAGUUUCUAAUUUUGAGCUGUUAUGAUUCAUGUUGCAAUGAAGAUCCCUGUAUACAAAUCUUUCCAUAUGUUGUUAAUUAUUUUUCCUUAAGAUAAAUUUUCAGAAAUUUUGACUCAAAAUUCAAGCCAACAAGUACAGAUAAUUAAGGCUGCUGAUACAUAUUGCCACAUUUAAACCACUAUUUUAGAAAAACAAAGUGGAUGUAGUAUGCAGCAUUUCUUGGAUGAGAGAUUCUGUGAGAAGCAAUUUGAUCUGGCACAGAACUGAAAUGGCUUUGUCAGGUGGCUGUAUUCAAAUCCUGGCUCCUUUCACUAUAUAACCUCAGUCAAAUAAAUUAAUCUUUUUGCCUUGCUUUCUCCCUUGUGUAAUGAGAUAAUUCAUGUGAAGCAAUUAGAACGGUGCUUAGCAUGUAACAGCUGACACAAUGGAGUUGUUGCUAGUAUUAUUACAGCAAUAAUUUAGGUUGGAAGUGAUAAGGUUAUCUAGAGAAAAAACAGAGAAAUCUUUGACAAAUUA